This 486-nucleotide ribosomal RNA is filed under the name uncultured bacterium. Its description in RNAcentral is "partial 16S ribosomal RNA". It matches the Rfam family "Bacterial small subunit ribosomal RNA", at positions 30 to 507 of the family's 1533-position model. The record is from RNAcentral.
AUUGAACGCUGGCGGCAUGCCUUACACAUGCAAGUCGAACGGCAGCACGGGUGCUUGCCCCUGGUGGCGAGUGGCGAACGGGUGAGUAAUACAUCGGAACAUGUCCUGUAGUGGGGGAUAGCCCGGCGAAAGCCGGAUUAAUACCGCAUACGAUCUACGGCUGAAAGCGGGGGACCUUCGGGCCUCGCGCUAUAGGGUUGGCCGAUGGCUGAUUAGCUAGUUGGUGGGGUAAAGGCCUACCAAGGCGACGAUCAGUAGCUGGUCUGAGAGGACGACCAGCCACACUGGGACUGAGACACGGCCCAGACUCCUACGGGAGGCAGCAGUGGGGAAUUUUGGACAAUGGGCGAAAGCCUGAUCCAGCAAUGCCGCGUGUGUGAAGAAGGCCUUCGGGUUGUAAAGCACUUUUGUCCGGAAAGAAAUCCUUGGCCCUAAUACGGUCGGGGGAUGACGGUACCGGAAGAAUAAGCACCGGCUAACUACGUG